CACGUAGGCGGCCCGCUAAGUGUGGAGUGAAAUCCCACGGCUUACCCGUGGAACUGCUUUGCAUACUGGCGAGCUCGAGGACGGUAGGGGAGAGCGGAACUCUUGGUGGAGCGGUGAAAUGCGUAGAUAUCAAGAGGAACACCAAUGGCGAAGGCAGCUCUCUGGUCCGUUUCUGACGCUGAGGUGCGAAAGCUAGGGUAGCGAACAGGAUUAGAUACCCUGGUAGUCC
RNAcentral lists this ribosomal RNA (229 nucleotides) under uncultured bacterium. RNAcentral describes it as "partial 16S ribosomal RNA". It matches the Rfam family "Bacterial small subunit ribosomal RNA", at positions 568 to 796 of the family's 1533-position model. The record is from RNAcentral.